This 292-nucleotide long non-coding RNA is filed under the name Mytilus galloprovincialis (Mediterranean mussel). Lineage: Eukaryota; Metazoa; Mollusca; Bivalvia; Mytilida; Mytilidae. The record is from RNAcentral.
AUUCCCUUUUAUUAGCAAAUCUAAAGUAAGUGUAUUAAUAUUGUUAACGUUACCUUCAUUUGUUUUAAAUUUCAACUUCACGCCUGGGUAGUUCUAAUGAUUUGAAUAUCAAGUUUCAAAUCAUAUACAAGUAUAUAGAUUGACACGGAAAUCAUGUGAUUGUUAUAUGUGUGUAAAUGUAAGCUUCUGUUGUCGUCCGUGCAAUGUUUUCAUAAUUGUAUUAUAAGUACUGUACUGAAAUAAAGUAGAAACAUCACUUUUAGCGCAAUAAAUAUAAUUAAGUCUAGAUUUU